UUCGAUUCUGGCUCAGGAUGAACGCUAGCUACAGGCUUAACACAUGCAAGUCGAGGGGCAGCAUGGUCUUAGCUUGCUAAGGCUGAUGGCGACCGGCGCACGGGUGAGUAGCGCGUAUCCAACCUUCCCCUUAGUAGGGCAUAGCCCGGCGAAAGUCGGAUUAAUACCCUAUGUUGUCAAUAGAGGACAUCUGAAGCUGACCAAAGGUUUACCGCUAAGGGAUGGGGAUGCGUCUGAUUAGGUUGCAGGCGGGGUAACGGCCCACCUGGCCGACGAUCAGUAGGGGUUCUGAGAGGAAGGUCCCCCACACUGGUACUGAGACACGGACCAGACUCCUCCGGGAGGCAGCAGUGAGGAAUAUUGGUCAAUGGGCGCGAGCCUGAACCAGCCAAGUAAGCGUGCAGGAUGACGGCCCUAUGGGUUGUAAACUGCUUUUAUACGGGGAUAAAGUUCACCACGUGUGGUGUUUUGUAGGUACCGUAUGAAUAAGGACCGGCUAAUUCCGUGCCAGCCGCGGC
Molecule: ribosomal RNA, 518 nt
Filed under: uncultured bacterium
Lineage: Bacteria
Description: bacterial SSU rRNA
Rfam family: Bacterial small subunit ribosomal RNA
Source: RNAcentral